This 467-nucleotide ribosomal RNA is filed under the name uncultured bacterium. RNAcentral's name for it is "partial 16S ribosomal RNA". It matches the Rfam family "Bacterial small subunit ribosomal RNA", at positions 28 to 506 of the family's 1533-position model. The record is from RNAcentral.
GACGAACGCUGGCGGCGUGCUUAACACAUGCAAGUCGAACGGAAAGGCCCUGCUUUUGUGGGGUGCUCGAGUGGCGAACGGGUGAGUAACACGUGAGUAACCUGCCCUUGACUUUGGGAUAACUUCAGGAAACUGGGGCUAAUACCGGAUAGGAGCUCCUGCUGCAUGGUGGGGGUUGGAAAGUUUCGGCGGUUGGGGAUGGACUCGCGGCUUAUCAGCUUGUUGGUGGGGUAGUGGCUUACCAAGGCUUUGACGGGUAGCCGGCCUGAGAGGGUGACCGGACAAAUUGGGAAGGAGAUACGGCCCAAACUCAUAGGGGGGGAAGGAGGGGGGAAUAUUGAAAAAGGGGGGGAAGCCGGAUGCAGCAACGCCGGGGGGGGGAUGAGGGCCUUGGGGGUGUAAACCGCUUUGGCCGGGAAAGAAGGGGGGGUGACGGUAAUGGGUAAAGAAACACCGGCUAACUACGU